GAUGAACGCUAGCGAUAGGCUUAACACAUGCAAGUCGAGGGGCAGCAUGAUCUUAGCUUGCUAAGGUCGAUGGCGACCGGCGCACGGGUGCGUAACGCGUAUGCAACUUGCCUUACAGAGGGGGAUAACCCGUUGAAAGACGGACUAAAACCGCAUACACUUGUAUUAUUGCAUGAUAUUACAAGGAAAUAUUUAUAGCCGUAAGAUAGGCAUGCGUCCCAUUAGCUGGUUGGUGAGGUAACGGCUCACCAAGGCGACGAUGGGUAGGGGAACUGAGAGGUUUAUCCCCCACACUGGUACUGAGACACGGACCAGACUCCUACGGGAGGCAGCAGUGAGGAAUAUUGGUCAAUGGGCGAGAGCCUGAACCAGCCAAGUCGCGUGAAGGAAGACAGUCCUAAGGAUUGUAAACUUCUUUUAUACGGGAAUAACGGGCGAUACGAGUAAUUGCAU
This 453-nucleotide ribosomal RNA is filed under the name Porphyromonas gingivalis. RNAcentral describes it as "bacterial SSU rRNA". It matches the Rfam family "Bacterial small subunit ribosomal RNA", at positions 28 to 469 of the family's 1533-position model. Lineage: Bacteria; Pseudomonadati; Bacteroidota; Bacteroidia; Bacteroidales; Porphyromonadaceae. The record is from RNAcentral.